Molecule: long non-coding RNA, 600 nt
Organism: Oncorhynchus tshawytscha (Chinook salmon)
Lineage: Eukaryota; Metazoa; Chordata; Actinopteri; Salmoniformes; Salmonidae
Source: Ensembl
CUUGGAACUAGCAGGAGAAACUUUGCCGUUACACGUAUUGUGUGUGUGUGUGUGUGUAUAGAUGUCAGUUCCCAUUCUACUCUAAACUGCCCUUUAUGUCACAGCCUGUUUCUCUGCACUGAAAGGAAGGCUGUGUGUGUCUGUCUCUCUCUCUCUCUCUCUGUCCAAUAGUCACUAAAACAUCCCCCCUCUUUUCUCAUACUGAGAGGAGGAGAGGGAGAAGGGGAGAGACAGAGCCCAAGUUCUACCGUUGUUUCGAACCUAUAGAAAACAGUCUGUGUCAUUAAAGUGUGUUUGUGUGUAUGUAUCUAUGUGUGUGUUUGUGUGUAUGUAUCUAUGUGUGUGUUUGUGUGUAUGUAUCUAUGUGUGUGUUUGUGUCUAUGUAUCUAUGUGUGUGUGUGUGUGUAUGUAUCUAUGUGUGUGUGUGUGUGUGUGUAUCUAUGUGUGUGUUUGUGUCUAUGUAUCUAUGUGUGUGUGUGUAUGUAUCUAUGUGUGUGUGUGUGUGUGUAUGUGAGUGUGUAGGUAUCUAUGUGUGUGUGUGUGUGUGUGUGUGUGUGUGUGUGUGUGUGUGUGUGUGUGUGUGUGUGUGUGUGUGUGUGU